AGGGCGUAUGGUGGAUGCCUUGACUAGAAAGAGCGAUGAAGGACGUGGUGUAGCUGCGAUAAGCUUCGGGGAGGUGCGUAGCAACCUUUGAUCCGGAGAUUUCCGAAUGGGGAAACCUAAUACUGUAAACCAGUAUUACGUGUUGCUUGACAACACGAGCAAACCCGCUGAAGUGAAACAUCUCAGUAAGCGGAGGAAAAGAAAACAAAUCCUUUAAGGAUAACAUUUCCUUAGUAGCGGCGAGCGAAAAGGAAAGAGCCCAAACCUAUUUGUAUUUAUAUAAAUAGGGGUUGUAAGACAGAUACGCUUUUUUAAUUAUCUUUUAGAUUCAACUCGAGUGUUAAAAGAUUAUUAAAAAGUGGGAGAGUUACAAAAUUUCUUCAAGAAAUUGAAGAAUCAUUAUCUAAAUUAAUUUUAAUUUAGAUAAUGAUUUUUGGUUAGUCGAAUAAGCUGGAAAGCUUAACUAAAAAAGGUGAUAGUCCUGUAGACAAAAACCAAAAAUCUCUCUAGUGUUUGUUCUUGAGUACUUCGAGAAAAGAUAACCUCGAAGGAAGCUGCCAGAACUAAACUGGCAAGGCUAAAUAUCUUUCUAGAUCGAUAGUGAACAAGUACCGUGAGGGAAAGGUGAAAAGUAGGCCGGUGAGGCCGAUGAAAUAGAACCUGAAACCAUACGCUUACAAGGAAGCGGAACUCAUUUAUGUUUUUAUUAACAUAAAGGGCGACGCUGUGCCUAUUGAAGAAUGAGCCAACGAGUGUAUAGAUGCUGCUUUGGUUAAUCCUGCUCAGCGGGAGAAGCCAUAGGGAAACCGAGAUUUAAUAGAUCGUCCAUCUUUUCUUCGCAAUAAAUUUAUUUUAUUGCGAAGAGAUGAUGAGGUAGCAUUUAUACGACCCGAAGCCAGGCGAGCUUACUAUGGCCAGGAUGAACUCCGACGAAAGUUUGAGGGAGGUCCGAACCGGUUGGUUGUGCAAAACCUUCGGAUGAGCUGUGGUAAGUAGUGAAAAGCUAAUCGAGCCUGGUAAUAGCUGGUUCUCUCCGAAAUAGCUUUAGGGCUAGCGGUCAUCUAUUCAAUUUUUGGGGGUAGAGCGACUGGUUUAAUCGUAAAGGGCGAAAGCUCGACGAUUAAGUCAAACUCCGAAUACCAAAAACGAGGAUGAUCAGUAAGACUGCGGGGGCUAAGCUUCGUAGUCAAAAGGGCAAGAACCCAGAUCGCCGUCUAAAGUCUCUAAAUCUUGAUUAAGUGUAUAAGGAAGUGAUAAGCCGAAGACAGAUAGGAUGUUGGCUUAGAGGUAGCCAUCAUUUAAAGAGUGUGUAACAACUCACUAUCAUAUUCCAACUUCGGUUGGAAUUGGCUGAUCGCGCCAAAGAUGUAGCGAGGCUAAAUCAAGUACUGAAGACGCGACUUUUUAUGUUUUAACAUAAAAGGGGUAGGAGAGCAUUUCUUUUGCAGUGAAGUUGUACUCGUGAGAGACAAUGGAGCGAAAGGAAGAGAGAAUGUUGGCAUGAGUAACCUCAUUCCUGAUGAGAAAUCAGGACGCCGAAAAUCCAAGGUUUCCGUGGCAAUGGCAAUCAACCACGGGUUAGGCGACCCUAAGGCAAUGGCGAAAGCCGCAGCUGAUGGAUAGCUGGUUAAUAUUCCAGCCCUUCUUAUAAAUUCGAUGGAGGGACGAAGGAAAUAAGCUUGAUCAUCUUAAUGGUUUGGUGUCCUUAAUAUCAAGAAAUGUUUACUAGGCAAAUCCGGUAAACUACCUUUAAUGGUAAAUUUCGGAUAUUGAGGAAAUUCUACUUCGGUAGAAAAUUCAAGUGAAGAGCCUUCCAAGAAAAACUUCUAAGGUUAGUUUAUAAGAAUUCGUACCGUAAACCGACACAGGUGGAUAGGUGUAAGAACACCAAGGCGAACGGGUGAGUCCUCGUUAAGGAACUCGGCAAAAAAGCGGUCGUAAGUUUGCAAUAAGACCUGCCUACGUAAGUAGGCCGCAGCUAAAGACCCUCUGGCGACUGUUUAAUAAAAACACAGGUCCCUGCUAACUCGUAAGAGGAUGUAUAGGGGCUGACGCCUGACCGAUGCGAGAAGGUCAACGGUGCCGGUUAAUCUAUUGUAAAAUAGAUUAGCUGAGUGCCUGAAGCCCUCGUCAAUGUCGGCAGUAACUAUAACUGUCCAAAGGUAGCGCAAUUCCUUGUCGGGUAAGUUCCGACGCGCAUGAAUGGCGUAACGAUCAGAGGACUGUCUCAACGAGGAGCCCGGUGAAAAUGCGAUUCCAGCGAAGACGCUGGGUACCUGCAACAAGACGAAAAGACCCCGGGAGCUUUACUGCAGCUUGAUAUUGGGUUUAAAUUGUUGCUGCGUAGCAUAGGUGGGAGACUUUGAAGCUCCGAUUCCGGUCGGAGUGGAGUCGCCAGUGAAAUACCACUCUGUAAUAAUUUAAAUUCUAACUUUAGUGGAAAAAACAUUAAAGGACAGUGUCUGGUGGGCAGUUUUUCUGGGGCGGAAUCCUCCCAAAGAGUAACGGAGGAGUUUAUUAAGGUCGGCUAAGUGCGGAUGGAAAUCGCACUGAUUGUGUAAAGGCAUAAGCCGGCUUAACUGUGAGGUUGACAAACCAAACUUGAACUUUUAGUUCAACGAUUCAUAAUUUUUAUUUAUGAAUUGAGAUGCGAAAGCAGAACUUAGUGACCCGACGGUUCUUUUUAGAACGGCCGGAGACAUCGGACAAAAGCUACCCCGGGGAUAACAGGCUAGUCAGAUCUGAGAGUCCUUAUCGACGAUCUGGUUCGGCACCUCGAUGUCGGCUCAUCAUAGCGCGGGGCUGGAGAAGGUCCCAAGCGUUUGGCUGUUCGCCAAUUAAAAUGAUACGCGAGCUGGGUUUAAACCGUCAACAAAACUUGUUGCUGUUAGCAAGUUUGGCGGCUUCUGGUAGUAAUAUCAGAAUGACAAAUCGACUCAUAUCGGUGAAGUCCUAAUAAUACUUGAAUAACAACCUGUGGUAUGUUAGGAUAAUACCGAGGGAAGUUGUAUAUGUCUAAAAAUAUUUCAUCAACGCAAAAAUCUUAUUUAGCUGGUUUUU
Molecule: ribosomal RNA, 3060 nt
Filed under: activated sludge metagenome
Description: bacterial LSU rRNA
Rfam family: Bacterial large subunit ribosomal RNA
Source: RNAcentral